GUGAGGAAUAUUGGUCAAUGGACGAGAGUCUGAACCAGCCAAGUCGCGUGAAGGAAGACGGUUCUAUGAAUUGUAAACUUCUUUUGUGCAGGAAUAAAGUGGGUUACGUGUAACCUUUUGUAUGUACUGUACGAAUAAGGAUCGGCUAACUCCGUGCCAGCAGCCGCGGUAAUACGGAGGAUCCGAGCGUUAUCCGGAUUUAUUGGGUUUAAAGGGUGCGUAGGUGGAUUGAUAAGUCAGCGGUGAAAGUUUGCAGCUUAACUGUAAAAUUGCCGUUGAAACUGUCGGUCUUGAGUGCAAAUGAGGUAGGCGGAAUGUGUUGUGUAGCGGUGAAAUGCUUAGAUAUAAAACAGAACUCCGAUUGCGAAGGCAGCUUACUGGGAUGCAACUGACACUGAUGCACGAAAGCGUGGGUAUCAAACAGGAUUAGAAACCCUGGUAGUCC
This 445-nucleotide ribosomal RNA is filed under the name uncultured bacterium. Its description in RNAcentral is "partial 16S ribosomal RNA". It matches the Rfam family "Bacterial small subunit ribosomal RNA", at positions 354 to 796 of the family's 1533-position model. The record is from RNAcentral.